CUCUCAGUUUUUGUUUGAUUGGACAACUCAUUCUUUUACUUUCACUUUUGGAGGACAUUUUCGUUCGGUUUAGAAUUUUACGUUGGCAGAUGUUUUCUUUGGGCACUUCAAGGAUAUCAUUGUUAUUACCUGCCUUCUCUAUCUUCUGAUGAAAAGUCGGUGUUCACUUAUUGUUUCUCAUUUGAAGGAUAAAAUGGAAGUGAUUGCUCUUUCUGAUUUGCUUUGGGAAGUGAUGAAACAAAAGAUGAUGAUUAUUUGUAAAAGAAGAAUCAAUAGUCGCUGAAUGAGGGCCUGAAUGAUUCUCCGAUGAGUCAAAGACAAAGGAACUACCAAGGCGCAGAGAAGUCAGGCAACGUACCCAAGGGCACACAGCUCACAAGGGUGUGUGGCUGUGUCUUGAUAUGGGGCCUAAGUCUCCUUCCAUCCUCACUGCUCUGCCUCACUUUGGAGCCAUUCAAUUGAAGUUUAUUGAACGAUUGAAAAAUCGAAGAUCAAGUGAAGAGUUUGAGGUUUUGGAAUUGGAAAAGCCUUCAGAAUUUCCUGGAACCCUCAGAUCAUUCUUGAAGCCCUCCCUGUAUGAAGGAAACAUCUCUGUUUCCUCCAAAAGAAAGGCAGAGCAAUCUUCCUAAUUUAAGCAUCUUGGGUACAAAUCUUUAGAUUGAGAAUGUGUAACUUCAAAAUAGUCAAUAAAAAAAAGACUAACAUCAAGAUAUAACAAAAUGCAUUAAUGAGAGUCUUGAGGGUACAUCAGUUUGUUGAGAACUCAAAUUUUCCUCUAGUCAUUGUGAUGCUAUUGAAUAAGUCACAUUUGUGUUUAUAAUUGGUUUAACUUCUUCAUUUUAACCAUAUGUUUGUAUCUGGUUUAGUUAAAAGAAAAAAAUAGUAAAAGAUUUACCGGGUUCAAUCAUAUAGUUCUUUUAAAAGCUUUGGUAAUGGGGAGCCAGCAAGGGUUUCUGAACAGAUGUUUGAUUUUAUUAGACUUUAGGAAGAUUAAUAUGGGCAAUCUACUUAGUUGCAUAGGAUGCUGUAUUAACUAGCCCACAGUGGCCAUAGCAGUGGGGUUUUCAGAGCAACUGCUUUUGAUCAGGGAGUAACUUCUAGUGCUACUCAAGUUAUCCUACAUUACAUGGUGCUGACUGUGCUUUUGUAUAGAGUGAUCCUCUUGGACAUCCGAGUGCCUUCCUGAGUACCCAAUACUGAGUCCAAUUCAUGAGAGACAAGUAAAGACUGCAGGUAAAGUCCCCAAGCCAGUGGGUCUCAUUGGUAGAGUUCACAUUGCUUCUCUCUUAAAGUGAUUGAUCACUGAUAGACUCAGAUGACAAGGGGAGCAGCAGUUGGUGAGACAUGAGUAUGGUCCACCCAUUAGAGAUGGCUCUCAAAGUAUAGAUGUGUAAACACAUUUCAUUGUUAUGAGUUUUAUGAGCACCAGAAUGAAGCACAUUUGGCUUUUAUCACUGGGCAUUAAAUAGGGGAAGAUGGAUGCAAUGCAGUGUUCAUGUUAUCCUUUAUAUUAUGUUCAAAAUUAUUAAGCUGCACUUAGGACACAUUUGGAAAAAAAUACUGGGAUUUGAACAUCACAUAGAAAAGCCGGUGUAUGUUUCACAGGAUGUUGGGCUUCAGGAGAGAGAGAAGAGGAAGAGGGAAGAGAACAGUCUUUACAUACUUCAUUUUUCCCCCAUACAUCAUACACAAAUAAUAAAAUAUUGUCCCAAAGAUUUUAGUUAAUUGUAAUGUAUCUCUGGAUAUCCCUCUGAGCAGUCAUUUCUGGAGUCCAUACACAGAAGAAAGACCAGUUUAUUAUCUGCUGAACAAUAGGCUAACUUGAAUCAUUGUUAUUAUUCAUUUGGAAAGUCUAAGAAAAGGCUGCAUUCUUAGACAAAACCAGGAGAUAGUUCUUUGCCUGGUAGGAGUGAUGGUGCUUGGCCAAACAUAGCCAGCAGAAUGUGAGCUAGCCAAGGAAACAGAGAUAGGGCUGGAUUCCUCAGAGAGACAGUGAAUCUUGGAAAGGUGGACAGAAGAAGCAAAUUAUGAGGAGGUAUUUAAAGAAGGAAGACAGAUUUGUCCCUAUUUGUAGACAGACUAAGUAAAGCAGAUGGUUGCUUCUGAAGUGUGAGUUUAGGCAGGCCUCACUGCCCCAAAUUAUCUUUAAUGUUGGCCAAUCAUUGUAUCAGAAAUUCCUACCAUCAAGAACUUUUAAGCUGAUGCAGUGAUCACCAUCAUUAAAUGCAAAGGAUAACUGGAAAGGGAAAUGCCUAAACUUAUUGCACAGAUACUGUUGUUUGCUCAUACAUAGGCCAUUUCCCCUUUAUUGCUAACAAUGUCCCAGUUUUGUUCAGAUACAGGGUGAAUAUUAUUGGAUUUCUGGGAAGAUGGACCCACCAGUUUAUGUGUGAGGAUGUUACCCAGUUCCAGCCAAAGGGAUAUAAAGAAGAUUCUGCUGGAGGGAAGUCCUUCGAAAGAUUUUUCUGCUGAUGAAGAGAGAUAUAAAGUGACAGACUUACCCAAUUUCUGACUUUUAUGAGGUCUUGAGAGGAGAUGAUGCCCAUAACUGCUGCAUCCAUCUUGAGAUUGUGAAAAGAAGGGAAAGAAACAGGCUGAGAUCCCAACUCAAAGUUGAUAUCCACAUAGCAAUCAUCAACCACUGGACCUUCUGCUGGUUGCAGGUCCUUCUAGUUGUGGGAUGUGGGACGCAGCCUCAACAUGGCCUGACCAACGGUGCCAUGUCCGCACCCAGGAUCUGAACCCUUGGCCACAGCGGAGUUCGCGAACUUAACCACUCAGCCACGGAGCCAGCCCCGCAAAGCUACCAACUUCUACCAAGUAGAUUGGCCAAAUAGAUUCAGCACACUUCCACACAGAUCCAUUUCAUACCUUUCUCUCUCCUCCCCAGUGACCGUAGAAGCUGACCAAAAUAGAAUUCAUCACGCAGGCUUCCAUGUCCUCUGAAUUUUUGUUGGGUUAAGCCGUUGGAAGAAAGUAGCAGGAGAACAGGGGAUGAGAAGAGAGAGAAGUUUGAGUGUUUAUUUCUCCUUACUCCCUCCUACUUUUUUUUUUUUUUUGAGGAAGAUUAGCCCUGAGCUAACUCCUGCCAAUCCCCCUGUUUUUGCUGAGGAAGACUGGCCCUGAGCUAACAUCUGUGCCCAUCUUCCUCUACCUCAUAUGUGGGAUGGCUUCCACAGCAUGGCUUGACAAGCAGUGCCAUGUCCACACCUGGGACUGAACCUGUGAACCCUGGGCUGCUGAAGUAGAACAUGCGCGCUUAACCACUGCGCCACCGGGCUGGUCUUGUACACCUUCCUGCUUUGAUACGACUGUCAGGGGCUAUACUCCUCUAAGGCUAUAGCCCCUGUGGAUAGUACAUUUUUCUUUCGCCAGCAUCUAGUAACUCCAAUUUCUCUCCUUGAUCCUUCAGACCUAGAUAACAUAUUUCCACUGCCUCUGGUACUUGAUUAUCUAAUCAUCACUUGGUGGUACCGAAUGUAGCCCACACGUCUAUAAAUUGUCCCUUUACAGUGUACCAUCCCUUUCCUGAAGGGACUUUAACUAACAGAAUUAUUGGUGCCAAGGAUGUCAACCCCUAUACCCUAAAAGAUGGAAUUCUAGAAUAAAACUGCUCAUAUUUUUGAGUAAUACACACUUAAUCUCCAUGAGGACACUGAUAACCCAUGAUUGCAGUUAUUAAAAUUAUCACUGGUGAAGAUAUAGAGUGAAUUACAGGUGGAGGUCAAGGUGAAGGGAGAUCAAGUGGUUGAGGUACUUAAUUGCUAUGGUGAUAAUGGUGAUUACAUUGGAUGUGAUGGUGGAGCAACUGAUUCUAACUGUACUAAAGAGCUUACAAAAAGAAUAAAAAACGAAGCUUAAGGAUUUAACCUCUUAACUCAAGGCAUGGUCAAAGAAUCAGAAAGCUUCUAAGGCGGUCCUAAGGGAAACCAUUCUUUUUUUAGCUACAGACAGGGCAUGGAUGAAAGCCAGACAUAAGUUCUGAAUAUACACAUUUCUGAGUUGCAAUAGACACCAAACCAAGCUCAUAUACUAUGUAAAGGUAUUGGCUGGGCAAAAAGUACAAUUUGGAAUCUUGGAUAAAGAUAUUUGGACAAAGAUGAAUCUGAGAAUUUUGAAUCUUCAUAUCCUUCUGGAAGGAGGUCUCAUCAUUUGAUUGAUCUAGCCUUCCUUUGGGGAAAAAAGAAAAUUUUCAAAGACUUUGGUGAAAUUACCUGGCGCAGUUGACUUACAUAUGAAUGCCUUUUCUUCUCACAACCUCCUGCACCACUUUCCAAUGCCUUACCAAGAAGGUAAAUUCCAAACACAGAAGUAAAAGAAUUGCUCUGGGAAGAGGUAAUAAAUGCAGCAAAAGAGUUUCAGGACCUUGUCAAGUUACAUUCCAAAGGGAUGGAUCAAGCCAAAUAUAUACAGAUGGAGAACUUGUCGACUGGUGAGCAAGUUCAGCUUUGACAACCGGGCCACUUGGACUGUGUUAAUCUUUUCCAAGGCUCUGAAAAUGAUUGUUCCAACAGAAGCAGUGCCAAACGACAGAAAGUUCUCCACGUCUGUAUUUGCUUGUACAGGUAUUAGACCAGAGCUCAUUUGGUGCAAAUCUGGAGCUAGUUUUACCUUAACCAAAGCAGGUACAGAGACAUUACAGCCUCUCAUCAGUGAAUAUUUGGAGUAUAAUGGGUUUCCAGACUUCAGGUCACUAGUACACAAUGAGAUCUCGGCCCACAAGAAGAGUUCGUCUUUUGAGAUAAUAUUGAUUCUGGAAAAUAUUUCAGUUACUCCUGCCCAUAGCCACCAUAUCCAGAAGUCAUGACUUUCCCAAAAAGAAAGAAUGGAAGGAGAGGAAGAGAGAGAAGGACAUGGAUUUUUGAUACUUGAAACGACAUUCCCUUUGUUUCAUAUUGGACUAAGGUCUCUUCCUUCUUUUCUACCUUUCAUUUUUAAAAACCAUUCAGCAAACACAGAAUAUUGUGAGAUGCUACGAAAAUGGCCUGGGACAAGGCACUUAUCAUUCUGCCCUCAUGGAGCUUACUUCCUGUGUUUGAAUUACUUGUUUUUCAUCCCAACAUUGAAAUUCUGCCCUCAGCCUGGUGGCACCUUACAGAGAUUUUCACAGAGAAUUCUACAAUAGCAGGAAAGGGAAAAUAUAAGUAGAUCAUUGCCACUGAAUUUGAUGCUUUUUUUGUCUUUAAUUUUCUUUUACAAUCUACCAAUCACCUGCAUUUACCAACAAAUUAUUUUGGGGGAAAGGGCAGAGGAAUGGAUGAUUCAUACUGCUUCUCUUAGAGAGUUCCAAAUCUCAUAAGGGAGAGAAGAUUCUUCCACAUGUAUAGACCAUAAGUAAAAGGCAGCGUUUCCAUGUGACCUUAUUACCUGGUUGAUUAUGCCCCAGUACUUUGCUUUUUAUUAAUCAUUCAUAUAUUCAUUCAUGCAAUCACUCAAUGAACAUGAGUUGAACACCCAUUAAAAGGAAGGCACUUUUAUGCACAAAGUGUUUUGAAUGAUAGCAACUAAUUCAAGGGAAGCACUGAAGAGCCCCUACAGACUCCAUAAUCUACCUUCAGACAUUUCAAAAUAAAAAGCUUGACCUGCGUCACUUGCCCCAGGAGGCCCUAACUUCCAAUAGGUCAAGUCCUUUUUCUAAGUUUUGGUUUGAGUUAGCAGUUUUCUUCACCUCUUCCCUCACCACGUACCACCUCCUCCUCUCCACCCCUCAAAUAAAACAUAUACAGAGUCUCUCAGGCAAAUAUACGCACCAAGAAACACACAAUUAAGUAAUUCUCGAUCUUGUUCCCAGGUCUGGUAGUCAGUAAUAGUUUCUAAGGGCCCAGUAGGAACCUGUAUUUUUAUCCUAGGCAUCUUCUAAUAUCAAAAAAUAGUUCUAGAAAUGCUUAAGAGAGAGGUAGCUAUGUUUAAGUUUUGUGAUGUUUUUCCUUAGCUUAUUAUUUUUUACAACCGAAAUGAAAUGAAGUCUGAGCCAAGUUUAUAUUGAUUUUUUUUCAAACAAUACUAUCACCCUAAUACAUCCUAAUCUUUCAAUUCUAAUUGGACACAGAGAAGUCAACAAUCGAGCUUUAUUUCCAACUUCUAAUUGGCUGUAAACUAGUGAAGUGAGCGUGUACUUUUACUAAACUUCACCCAUCAAGACUAUCCGCCUUCACAGCAUCACAAAUUCAGCUCAUUAUAGCAGCCCACCUGAAGCGCCCCUUGCCCCCCAUCCAUACUGCAAAGCCAAUUACAUUCACGUAUCUGCCAUGCAGUUUGCUUUCAGCUCCACAAACUGUAACAGUGAGAAGAUAAUGCAGGCUCUUGUUACUAUUUUUCAUCUUUGUGAAGGUCCUCUUCUAAGUCGUGUUUCCCAUGUAGGUCUCCUCACUGGCUUCUCUAUCGAAUUCUUCUGUUUCUCUGGACCUUUUAACUCACAUUAUCUUGUAUUACAGGAAGUAUUACUGCUUACUUCUCUCUUGAGCUGGCAUAUCCCAGGACAUUCCCACUUGAUAGGUGUAAUUUAAUUUAAAUACUACUUUCCUUGUAAACUACUCUCUUUAAGGAGUGGAGUUAUUGGGAUGGGGUGGAGAUGACAAUUUAUAUUGGGAUGUAAAAUGACUGGUGGUCAACUCGAAAGUUCUCUCUACCAUCUUUGAAAUUUUGUCUACAAGGAUGUUAGUCAUAGUCCAUUGUUUUGGCACAUUUUGCAGUGCUUGUAUCCUAUUCUAAAAGUAAAGCUCCCUGAAGGUGGGUUCUGCGUUUUAUAUCUUUUCAUGCUUCUCUCUUGUGCACAUUAAUCAAAUUGCCUUAGCAAUAGUAGGUGCUUAACAAAUGUGCACUGAAUGAAUGAACUCCAGCUGCCUCUAUCAUUGCCUCCCUUGCUGUUCCAAAGUGGGGUAUCACAGGACACCAAGCCCUGCUGGGUGAAUGAGUUAUACUCAAGCACUACCUAUUUCUCAAAGGCAAAUCACACACACUCUGGUUGAGAGGCACAGGCUUGUUAUUAAUGAUGCUGGGAAAUGUGCCUUGUGACUAGGGAUGGGUGGAGCGCUUUCCACGUUACAGGAAAGCCUCAGUUAACCAGGACCCAAGGGGUCACAAUCCUCAAUUAGAAUUUGUUUCUAAUUUGAGAAGAAAGAGACAAAGGAUAGACAACUUGCUCACAUUGAGGAGUUAGCAAAAUAAGAGGUAAUGAAGUUAAAUAAAAUCAUAUUGGUAAGGAACAAUUUAGGACCAGCUCCAUCUCCCACAUGAUAUGCAUCUUUAUCUCUCGCUCUGCAUAUGAAGAUUACAUCUGUGAUUUGUAUCAAGAUAGAAAACAAUACUUAAGCAAGUCAUUUAUGAUUAAAAUGUUUGAAACCCAGAUAACAUCCUAGGGUCUCUAGGUUUAUAAACUGUAAUAUACUUAUGAAGACCUCAAGACCUUAGGGGAAAAAAACAAUUAACAAAAUAUUACUUAACAAAGAAAAGCCCAAUGCCAGGUGUGGCUAGUAGAAGAGGUUCUUUACCUCAUACCAAUGCUCCUUACCCUAGACCAGAGACAAGGGACUUUCUGACAACUUUCAUACCUUCUUGGGCAGACUGGACAAGUAACUUCUGCCUUUCUCUUUUUCUUCUCACUGGCCCCUCUCCACGGAAAGAGCUACAACCAAUUAGAUUGGUCAGUCUUGUGCUUACCGGGACUUGUUGACAGAGGUGCACUUCUUGUACCCUGAGUCUGUCUGGAACCUGCAUCUCUCCUGGAUUGGUUAUUAGGGUAGUGGGAUUUCAUCUGCUCCCUUCUCCCUUAUAGGAGCCUCUCCUCCCUAUGCAGGCAAGACACCACCCUUUGCCUCCCCAUUUGUAACUGGUGGGUAAUGAGAUCCACGCAUUCCCAUGGACUCAGCUGACCCUGAUUUUUAAUCAAAUAUGAUGCUCUAUUUCCGUCCUCAAUCCAGGCCAUGUCUUUCAAUAUAGUUUACCAGAAACUGUUUAUCAAUCACCGAUUAAUAAAUUUGAUGUUUUAAAUCUUGUUUGGCUAAUGCUUCUUGUGUCUAGUCUCUUCAUAGAUUAAAACUUGGCGAAAGGAGGAUGGUAUAAUUAUUACCUCCAAUUUCUAACCCUCAGGUACAAUCAAAUCUGAAUUUACCAUUAUCUUAAGCUAACUUUUUUUUUGUACUAGGCUUCUAAAGAGGAAAUAAUUUACCUAAGAAAAACUGAAUGAUAGAAUUUUUCAAAAGAAAAAUUCCAGAAUUAGUCCAUAUUUAGUUUGAUUUCUCAUCUCUCUGAGCCAAGAGUGAGGAAGACGGGUGUUGGUGGUCUGAUGGUAAAAGAGAAGGAAGAAAAUUCUGUAUAUACUCUAAAAAACGGGAGAGUGAAUUGAGUAGAGAAACACAAUAGGAUCUCUGGUUAGUGCUGAGGGCCCACCUGAAGUAUGUGGUCUUAUAUUUCAAGUGAAACUAGUUAAGAAGUUGAUAUGGAUCUUGCCAGUCAUUACAAGCCAAUUCCUCCUUGCACUCCUUCUUUCUUGAAGCUAUAAGCACUCUGCUGAAUUCAACCCCUAUCCUACACUUGGGUGUGUGCAUGUUGUGAGUAUAUAAAUUGUCACUAUGUAAAAAUGUAGCCCUAAACCAAACAUUGCUUAAUUUGCCUGGCUUUGAGCUUUAAAACAUAUUGAAUGCGUUCUUCUGUGACUUGAUUUUGUUCCAUAUAAUAUUUAUUAGCUACAUCCAUAGUGUUGCUUAGAGAUGUAAUUCAUUUAUUUCCACUUAUUGUAUAGCUUUUGUUUGUGCUAUUAUGAAAAUGCUGUAUGACCCUUCUCAUGCAUAUCUUUUGGUGUAAGUGUGCAAUUUCUCUGAGUUACUCACCUAAGAAUGAAAUUGUUUGCUCAUAGAGUAGACACAAGUUUAAAGAUAAUGCCGACUUGUUUCCCAAAUUGGUGGUAGAAAAUUAUAUUCCCUCCAGCAAUGGUUCCUAGAACAAUUUCAGUUGCUUAGAUACAGGCACUAGAUAGUCAGAUGGAUAGAUUUAACUAGAUGGAGGGUUUGUCCAAUGAAUAUGAUAGAAGGGCAAGGGAAUUAAGAUUUUAACGAAGCAGUGAUUAAAAUGAAGUUCCAUGGAAGUUAAGCUGGAUAGAGUAUAAAGUAAGGAUUUCAGUGAAAGAUGCAUAAGAUAAGAAUAAUACGGAAUCCAUGAAUUAGGGGUCCCUUCAGCUGCACUGCAGAGAGGUAAAUGGUGAGGGGUGGUUGCACCCUUGGGAAGAGAGCCCAAUGAAAAGCAUAAGAGAAGCUUUAGACUUCAGACAAAGGGAGAGCAGAGUAUCUAGAUAGAAUUGGGAGAAGGGAGCAAAAACUUCUUCUUGGAGAUAUCCAGAUACAUAUGUUUGCUCUUGUGUCAGAAACUAUUCUGAGAAAGUACAAAAGCAGUGAAAUCUAAUAAGUUAAACUUCUGCAUUCAGGUACAUCUGAAUAGCUAUGCAGAGUGAGGAUAUGUCCUUGUGAGUAUAAACCUAUUGAGAAUAUUUAUUUGAACUAUGUACAUGACACAAGAACAUCAAAACAAAAAUAAAAACAGAGAGCAUUUAAGGUGCUUGAGGAAAUUCAUUCAGCUCACAGGUUGAAAAAUCAAAAUGCAAAACUGAGUCCAUCAACUUUACUACCAAGGGUGCUGUAAGGUGGUGUCUGGAGUGGUGAUGCUUAAGCAUUUUUGGCAUGGAUUUCUUGGGGAAAUUUCGUAGUUUGCCCUCUCCCUUGAGAACAAGCCUAGACUUCCAUAAACAUUACAAUUUUCAGACCAUUUUAGGAAGUUCCAGAGCCCCUGAAGCUCCAUCUUUGGAUUCCCUCUGGGUCCAGGGCAAAAGCACUACACAAGUUGUGUGAGUUGUGUCCUGUAGGGAGGGAUCCAGACUUCGGAGCAAUGGGAAGAAACAAGUUUGGCUGGCCCUCCACUCACCAAGCUGGGUGCUUCUAAGCAACUGUAUUCAAACACAGAGAAACCUGUUUUUUCCUAAUACAUCUGCCCAAAGAAGAUACUUUUUUGUAAUUCCCAAAAAGAUGUGCUGGGGCAAGCCCAGGUUGUACUUCUUCUUAUACAUGGUCUCAGUGGUUUAUUUAAUCAUUUCACAUUACAGAUUCUUUUUCAAUUGGUUGUCGUCAGAAAUUUAACAUAUACAGGCCCCCUAUUGUCAGCUCUAUUGUCCCCCUUGGCUGUGUUUGCUAGUGUCUGGAGGGCAUGAGGGAUAUUUGCAUCUCCCUCAGUACACAGCAGUGUCCUUAUACACUAAGAUACUCAAACACUAUUUGAUACUUGAUUGAUUACUGUUUGGUAGAUGAAUUAAACCUAAAAGGAGUUUAACAAAUAAACUAUUGUUUAACAGUCUAGAGGUAUCAAUGUUUUGAGUUUUAUUUAAGCUUUUCCUUUGGCAGAGAGGUAGACAUAGCCCCAGACUGAAAAGAAUGAACUGUAUCCAGCUCCUAUGUGGCAUCUGUAAGGCUCCCGAUGCUGAGGUGAGGGUGGCGGGGAGAGGGGUUGGAAAACAAUAACUUGGAAACUGGAGAAGGUCUCACCAGCAAGGGGGGCAGAUGGGAUCAUGCCUUUGAAGACAACCAGAAAAGUUUAAUCCAAUUUCCACCAGACACCCAAAUGUGCUCUAAAAGAGGAAUUUUCUCGAGAUUGAGAGUGAUGGAAACAGAACUGGAGAUAUUCAGGGAGAUAAAUGAGUGGGAGAGAUUUAUUGAUGAAGCAUGUAUAGAACUAAAUGUGGAAGUUAAAACAGCAGAAAAUGAGGUCCAGGAGAGGAAAUUGAGGGAAGAGGCAGUGUGUGUCAGGAGAGGAGCACGUGGGAAACGUGAAGUGAAGGCAGAGCUGUGAUAAGAGUCACAGCAUAGAGGCCGAGUUAGAACCGGAGCGAUUUGAAAAGAUAACUCCUCUGGGCAUUUGGGACAUACCCUGGGUCUUGAUAUCAGGAGUGACAUAUGGAUCUCAUAAAUUAUCCUUGGGUGAGUAUAAACUUAUUUCUGCCUUUAUCUCAUUCUGUCAAGUCGAAUUUCUAAAUAUUGUAGGUCCCCAAUGAAUGUCCAAAUAAAUAAAUAGCUACAGAAUAGCCUGUUUGCAAGUCAUGUGGAAGUGGGCUUCAGAGUCCAGACUUGCUGUGUGCUUAUUCUCAGAAACUUAUAGUAAGUCUUAGGUUAUAAUAAUAAUGAGAGAGAUCAAUUAUAUUAGAAUAUGCUGUGUUUCUAUUUCAUUUUAUAAUUUAGUUUUUAUUCAACGUAUUUUCAGCUCCUUUCGCUCAGUGGAACUGACGCUGUAGUGAGAGAAGUGAGGGCUGGGAUGCAGGAGCACAGAGGAGAAUGUGGACCAAGUCUGAGUCAGAUGAGUGCGUGAUCCACUUUGUUGCAGAAUUUUUGUUUCAAUGAGCUAUUUCUGUGUAAUAAGUUACUCUGAAACUUCAUGGCUUAAAAACAUGGACUCACUCAUGUGAUUGAAAUCAGAUGGCAGGUAGGAAAGUAGGAAGGUCCAAGAUGACCUCUCUCACAUUUCUCGGGCCUUGGCACUGGGCUGCCCCAUGGGUCUCUUAUCAUUUAGUGAUCCAGGCUUCACCUCCCUACAGGUGGUAGCACCAUUCCAAGAAGCUGCAGCUUCUUCCAUUCUAGAUUCCAGAAUUCACACAACCUCAUUGUACCCUGUUUGACUGGACAAAGCAAGUUACAAGGCCAUGCCAGGGCAAGGGCUGGGUAAGUGG
Long non-coding RNA from Equus caballus (horse), 11701 nucleotides. The record is from Ensembl. Lineage: Eukaryota; Metazoa; Chordata; Mammalia; Perissodactyla; Equidae.